GGGUUGUAUGAAGGAGAGAAGGUGGGCAGUCCCCUUAAUUAGGAAGGAAUGGUCUCUGGGGCCUAUAUGACACAUAUGUCAUAAGGCAUGGCUCCUACCUCGUGGCCUCUAAACAGAGUCUAAGUGUUAA
This is a small nuclear RNA of Cynocephalus volans (Philippine flying lemur), 130 nucleotides long. The record is from RefSeq and is a predicted model, not a curated record. NCBI's taxonomy places the organism in Eukaryota, Metazoa, Chordata, Mammalia, Dermoptera, Cynocephalidae.